RNAcentral lists this long non-coding RNA (218 nucleotides) under Lathyrus oleraceus (garden pea). RNAcentral describes it as "Pisum sativum (pea) long non-coding RNA (PSAT_LNC012623)". The record is from RNAcentral. Lineage: Eukaryota; Viridiplantae; Streptophyta; Magnoliopsida; Fabales; Fabaceae.
AAACAAAAUUCUGCAUUUACAUAAACCAAAAUUCUGCAUUACAACGAGGAAUAACCUGCAUAACAUUGAAUUCCUGCAUAAUAACAGAAAAAUUUCACAACCAAAUAACAGAAUUUUCUUCUAAUCUUAAUCUCAUAACUCUAAAAAAAAUCAAAACCUUCACCUCACUACACUUCCAGAUUUUUCCACAUAACAGACUCAAUCUCAUUUCUUCCUCU